GUCAUAGGAAGGUGUUCCAGAAUAAAAUUAAAAAAGCCUUGCCAGACGUAAUAAUUAUUUGGACUACUCAUAUAUAUAUAUAUAUAUCAUUAAAAAUACACCAAAAAAGUCAUUAGUUGAGAAAAAUAAAUAUAUACAAAAUGUACAUGAACACCCAAAAAUGUGAAAGUUAGUAUUUAACUCUUUUUGCUUAAAUACUGAAAAAAAUUCUGGCAACCCCUUUCUUAUUUUUACCCUAUUGCUUAAAAUACUGUUAAAAAUAUAUAUUUAACAUGGGUGACGAAUUGACUAUAUCAGGUGUCGAUUUUAACCAGGUGCUGAUUUGUCCAGGUGCCAAUUUAACUAGGUGCCAGUUUGACUAGAAUUCUUUGACAAAUGUUUGAAACUAUCUGAGUUUCAUUAGACCUUUGAUAGCAGUAACAAAAAGAUUAUUUACUUAAUAUUUUGUGGGAGAAGGGGGUUCAGACUGUGUGGUAUCAGGUCUGUUUGUGCCCAAUACAUUUUCGCACCCUACACGUUCGCACAUUCACACUCUACUCAUUCGCGCCCAAUUUUAAUUCAAAUUCAAGUUGAAUAAUUGGAAAAUCAUGGUUGUUGUUUUAAAUUGCUUUGGUGUAAAUACUGAAUGUAUUUAUAGCUUGGUAUGAGUAAAACAUUGAAGAUUUUAAAGGAAAAAACACAAAAGAUAAUUGUUUUUAACAGCUUGGUCCCAUUGAUCUGAAACAACGAAACAAUAAAACAUAGAAACCAAAAUAUAGCAAUCCACUAAUAUAACCAAAACAUGAUAAAAUUUAUUCAACACGCAGAAACAAACAUAGUCAGAAUCUCACUUCAUUUUGAAACAAGUCAAUGAAACAAGUUAUAGCAAUACACUAACCAAAACAUGAUUAAGAGUUAUUCAACACAAAAUAAAACGUUGACAAAAUACCACUUUAUUUAGAAAGGAUUAUUAUUAUUUUUAGCAAUACCUUAUCCAAAACAUGAUUAAGAUUUAUUCAACACAAAAAAAAAAUUGCUGUCUCACUUUAUUUUGAGACAAUGACAACAAUUAUACUUAUAAGAAAACACUUGCUUACAGAGUUAUUAAACACAAAACCAAUUAAGAUUGGGUGCGAACAUGUAGGGUGUGAAAGUGAAAGGGGUGAAAAUGAGUGGGCGCAAACGUGAAUGGAAGCGAACGGACCCAGAUUCAGACUAUGUACCAGUGAGAAAUAUACAAGCCUUUCUACGGUAUUUAUUUGUACAAUUCAGCUAGUCUUGACCUAUUCAUUUGUCUUAAAAAAACCAGCCAGUUGUCACCUUCACUUCACACACACACACAUAUACGAAUAUCAAUUAUAUGCUCACGAUACAUGUUGCAUUGUUAAACUAAUUACGGUAUGUGAAAAUCAAGACUUGCAUAAAAACUAUCCCAAUAUUAGAGACAGUGGCGUCAUUUUUCUUCAGAGCUUUCAGCUCUUUGAUUACAUCUUAAUAUUUUAUGA
RNAcentral lists this long non-coding RNA (1484 nucleotides) under Mytilus galloprovincialis (Mediterranean mussel). Lineage: Eukaryota; Metazoa; Mollusca; Bivalvia; Mytilida; Mytilidae. The record is from RNAcentral.